This 460-nucleotide ribosomal RNA is filed under the name uncultured bacterium. RNAcentral describes it as "partial 16S ribosomal RNA". It matches the Rfam family "Bacterial small subunit ribosomal RNA", at positions 338 to 795 of the family's 1533-position model. The record is from RNAcentral.
CCUACGGGAGGCAGCAGUGAGGAAUAUUGGUCAAUGGACGAGAGUCUGAACCAGCCAAGUAGCGUGAAGGAUGACUGCCCUAUGGGUUGUAAACUUCUUUUAUAUGGGAAUAAAAUGUUCCACGUGUGGGUUUUUGUAUGUACCAUAUGAAUAAGGAUCGGCUAACUCCGUGCCAGCAGCCGCGGUAAUACGGAGGAUCCGAGCGUUAUCCGGAUUUAUUGGGUUUAAAGGGAGCGUAGGUGGAUUGUUAAGUCAGUUGUGAAAGGUUGCGGCUCAACCGUAAGAUUGCAGUUGAAACUGGCAGUCUUGAGUACAGGAGAGGUAUGCGGAAUGCGUGGUGUAGCGGUGAAAUGCAUAGAUAUCGCGAAGAACUCCGAUUGCGAAGGCAGUUCACUGGACUGCAACUGACACUGAGGCUCGAAAGUGUGGGUAUCAAACAGGAUUAGAUACCCUUGUAGUC